UACAGAGGGUGCGAGCGUUAAUCGGAAUUACUGGGCGUAAAAGCGUGCGCAGACGGUUGCGUAAGUCAGAUGUGAAAGCCCCGGGCUCAACCUGGGAAUUGCAUUUGAGACUGCGUAGCUAGGGUGCGGAAGAGGGAAGCGGAAUUUCCGGUGUAGCGGUGAAAUGCGUAGAUAUCGGAAGGAACACCAGUGGCGAAAGCGGCUUCCUGGUCCAGCACCGACGUUCAGGCACGAAAGCGUGGGGAGCAAACAGGG
RNAcentral lists this ribosomal RNA (255 nucleotides) under uncultured bacterium. RNAcentral's name for it is "partial 16S ribosomal RNA". It matches the Rfam family "Bacterial small subunit ribosomal RNA", at positions 524 to 777 of the family's 1533-position model. The record is from RNAcentral.